CAGUCAUCAGCAUGCAAUGGUAGCUAAAGGCACCGGUAUAGAAAAAUUUACAAAGGAAGAGUGUUUAGAAUAAGAAAAAAGAGAGGAGGAUUGCAUUGUGAAAAAAAUAUCAAUAUUUAUAAAGAGAGAAAGGAAGAAGAUCAACAGUGGAUAAAAGCCAGGAAGAAUGGUGUCACCACAGCCAAGGGAAAAGAGAAAACAAAUUCUACGGAGAUUAAGCAAGGACUGAAAAAUACUAGAAUUUUCAACCAAGAAGACUUUGCAAUAUCCCAGUCACCUGGGGAUCACAGUUCCAAAGGAGACAUUGGGAUGCAGAUCAAAUUGCUAUGGACCAAAGAAUAAAUGGGAAAAGCGGAAGUUGAGAUGUGAUUCCGCAGUCUGAAGCCAGCCCUUUCAGCUCUUACAGCCAUCCCAAAUCUGCUGUAAGUGGAGGAAACAAAGCAAUAAUGAAAUAAAAGAUUAGACUUGAGUGAACAAAAGAGAGGCCUGAAACAUACUUGGCAAGUAAUAGAUGCUUAAUUCAUAUUCGUUGAUGGAAUACCUAGAGAAUAAAGCCUUUAUUAAUUGUAGACUUGAAUCUACCAAAAACAGUCCUGGUAAAUGGACUGGGAGUUGGAGAGUGCCGAGCAAGUCAGGACAGAAGACAUAUCUUGAUGAAGCCACAAACUUUACCUAAAUCACCGAGUUUUAAGACACUUGACUGCCCAAAUAAAAACAUCAUAUUGUGAAAGGCCCCAGCCAACAAACCGAAGAUGGGUAGAAGGAAAAAGAAUUUUGCUUUUUUCCUUCCUCUUCAGAAUGUACUUGGGUCUUGCUCGAUGCUAUGCCAUAAAGACGCUCAGGCAAGACAACUGAAUGAGCAGAGGCCACAUGGAGAGAGUGAGCCCACACGGAGGAGCAGGAGGCACCAUACAUAGCCACGCCAAAGAAGCCUUGAGCAAGUGAACUCCC
Lemur catta (Ring-tailed lemur) is the source of this 951-nucleotide long non-coding RNA. RefSeq lists it as uncharacterized. The record is from RefSeq and is a predicted model, not a curated record. NCBI's taxonomy places the organism in Eukaryota, Metazoa, Chordata, Mammalia, Primates, Lemuridae. The transcript is spliced from 6 exons.